RNAcentral lists this unclassified non-coding RNA (2907 nucleotides) under Hevea brasiliensis (rubber tree). Lineage: Eukaryota; Viridiplantae; Streptophyta; Magnoliopsida; Malpighiales; Euphorbiaceae. The record is from RNAcentral.
GUGUAUAACCCUCGUAUCUUGAAUUAAGCAUCCACAAUAAUAUAAAACAAAUUUACACAAAGCAUCUAUAAAAAGCUAGCCUUAACGAGCCCAGGCAAAGCUUAAUUAAUUUAUAAUAAAAUAUUUCAUAUUAAUUUUUUUUUCAUUCAAAACCACACAAAAACCAUAACAACCUUAAUUAAUUUGAUAAUUAAGAAGAAUGAUUUCAAUAUCUAGUUAAAUCAUGUCAUCGCCUUCUUCAACUUCAGCUUCUGCUUCAUCGUCAAAGGUAACAGUUGGUUCAGCAUCACCAAUAAAUGGGAACCCUGCAUGUUCAUCAUUCACUUCAUUCUGAGUCUCCUCUUCAUGAGUUUUCUCAUGCUCUUCUUCUUCUUCUUCAUCAUCUUCUUCUUCUUACUACAACAAGAUUGUUAUUGUAAUGGGGAAGAGCAAGAAGCCUCGCCCUCCUCCUCCAAAGGGUUCUGAGCCAGCUCCUCCAAGAAUUACAUCAAAUCUCAAGCAGAAUUUGCAGUUUUUGAAGUUAUGGAAGGAAUUUCAAAAGAGGAAGUCUAGCACACCCAAGCCUGCUACCAGUUACCGCAAAAAGAAAGUGGACAACGAAGACCUUCCAGAAGAUACAGAACUCUAUCAUGAUCCUACCUUGUCCCUCUACUAGUAAUACUCUUUCCAGGUUCCUUUCUUAUUGGAGUUUACUAUUUCAGCCAUCAAGUUUUUAGACUCUUGGAAAAGGAUUUUUGUUUGAUCUACCAAUUAUAAUUUACAGUACAAACCAGGUUAUAGACAACGCAGUCCCCGUCUUGCUUGUUGAUGGCUAUAAUGUAUGUGGCUAUUGGGCGAAGCUGAAGAAGCAUUUUAUAAAUGGACGACUUGAUAUUGGCCGACAAAAAUUAAUUGAUGAACUUGUAACAUUCAGUAUGCUUAGAGAGGUGAAAGUGGUAGUUGUCUUUGAUGCCAUGAUGUCAGGGCUUCCUACGCACAAGGAAAAUUUCGCUGGUGUUGAUGUGGUUUACUCGGGUGAAUCAUGUGCUGAUGCAUGGAUCGAAAGAGAGGUUACUGCCUUGAAGGAGGAUGGAUGUCCAAAAGUUUGGGUUGUGACGUCUGAUCGUAUGCAACAACAUGCGGCGCACGGAGCAGUAUGCAUUCUUUGGAUAGUUUACUAUUGUUGCAUUGAAUUUCCUUGAUCUAGUAAACUUUGAUUUGCACUUAUGACUUAUGCUUUAGAAAUAACCAAUUUUAGCCUAUACUUUAGUUGUUGGGUGCUCUUGUGGUUAGGCCUCCAAAACCCUGUUAGUUAUGUGUAAAAUUAAGGUAAAUUACUAAAUCCCUUUAUGUUGGCAAAAUUAUACACUUUGGUCCAUGUCGUUUCAAAAUUAGCGAUUUCAGUUCUUACACCUCCUAACCACCAUCAGUGAAAGGCAUGCAAUUUUGAGAGACUAAAUUGUUUUAUAAUAUAAGGACCAAAAUUUGAUAUGAUUUCAGAUAUUAGGAAAUAAAGUGUAAUACUAAAAAUUUAUAGUUUUAUAAUUAAGGAUUAAAGUGUUGAUUCAUUAAGAAACCAUGGGGGCCAAAAUUAUUAAUAUUGAAGUAGUAAAGAUCAAAGUGUAUAUUAUGGAAAAUUUCAAUUGGGUUUUAGUAACUUACCUUAAAUUAACUUAUAAAAAGAAAAAUACGGUCACAUAAUGAUAAAUUUGGUAACCUAAUAUCAGUAGAUCCUUCUUUCUAUUGACUUAUCCCUCUAUAUUGGCCAUAUUGGAAAUUAAUUUUGCAUAGAAUUGAAUGGGUUUUCAUGACCUGGCAGCGCAAUUGCACCUUAUAACUAUUGGCAAAGUUGGUUAUAUCCAAGUACAGUUGUAAGUAUGAUUUUAAUAUUAGAGUUUAAAACAGGUGUGUACAAGUAGAAAUAGAAUCACAUCCCACUUAUAAAUAAAAAUAUUAUAGGGAAUAGAAGUCCUUAUAAACAAUUUAAAAUCAUGAUUAUAGUAGUAAGACUUACAUUUCCCUCAAUACUCAUACUCAACUAGGCAUUGGUCCCAAAUUAGUUGAUUCAAUUUUCUCUGUUUCACUCAUUCUAGGAGUACAUCUUUACAAAGAUCUAGAACUUUUAAAUUCUUUCUCACUAUAUCCCCCACGCUUCACUCAAUAAAUAAUAUAGAUUGAAAUAGAAUUAGGAAAUCGUAUUGUAUAGAAAAUCCUAUAAUUGUUGGGAUUAUAAAUUAAAUAAAAUAGAAAAUAAAAGAUUGAAAAUGCAAUUAGUGAAUCUUAUAGGUAGUAGAAAUUUAGAGUUUCAGUAAUGUAAAAGUAUCUGAAAUUUUAUUUUGUUCAUGAUGUAAUAUUUGGUUGUCUUUACAAAAGUUCUGGCUGGCUGCAAAAGCUUAAGUGUCAGUUUAAUAGAUGAAGUUAGAAUGUGAAGGCCAUCGGUCAAAUCAUUGCUUUGUAUCAGUUCCAUUGCUGCUUCUUAUUAAAUAACAAUAACUAAGCCUUAAUCCUAAAUUGGUUGGGGUCAGUUAUAUGGAUUUUUUUUUUGCCAUUCAGCUCUAUUAUACACAAGGUCCUCAACUCCUCAUCAAUAUCCAAAACUUGUAAAUCCUUUGGUGUUAUUUCCCUCAAUGUCAUCUUAGGCCUCCCCCUUUCUCUUCUCCCUCCUUCCCCUACUAACCUAUCACCCUUUCGUAUUGGGGCAUUUGACUCUUUGUGUUGUGCAUGACCAAAUCAUAUUAAACGAUCCCCCUUCAUUUUAUUUCCAAUAUGUGCCAAGUGUAUUGUCUAGAGGAUGUGGUCAUUUUUAAUCUUAUCCAUUAUCAUGUUCUUUAUAUCAUAUGAAACCAUACGAUAUAAAUGCUGCUGCUUGUUAAAAAUUGUACCAAAAUUAACCAUCCUGUAUUUUCUUUGUUUUGGAAUCAGCUUUCA